UACGAAGGGGGCUAGCGUUGUUCGGAAUCACUGGGCGUAAAGCGCACGUAGGCGGAUUUGUUAGUCAGGGGUGAAAUCCCGGGGCUCAACCUCGGAACUGCCUUUGAUACUGCAAAUCUCGAGUCCGGAAGAGGUGAGUGGAAUUCCUAGUGUAGAGGCGAAAUUCGUAGAUAUUAGGAAGAACACCAGUGGCGUAGGCUGCUCACUGGUCCGGUACUGAGGCUGAGGUGCGAAAGCGUGGGGAGUAACCAGG
Molecule: ribosomal RNA, 253 nt
Filed under: uncultured bacterium
Lineage: Bacteria
Description: partial 16S ribosomal RNA
Rfam family: Bacterial small subunit ribosomal RNA
Source: RNAcentral